GGCUGAGGUACAUAUCUUACAUGCUAAAGCAGACCUGCCUUCAGGUUCUCUCUGCAUCCUACCUAGCAUACUCUGCCCACAACUCUGACCUUUCCAGCCCAGGGACUGGGCUGCCCUUCUCCAAGAGACUCUCCUCGAUAUAAUCCAGAUAUUUUGGUCUCUUCCUCUCUCUUUCUCUCCUCUUCUCUCUCUGUGCAUGCCCUUUCUCUACCCUAACCCCCCACCCUCCCACAUCCCAUGCCUACCACUAUGCUUUUCCCCGUGGUGACUUCCCUGGCCUCAAUCCUUGGGGCCUGAGAGCAGUUUCCCAAUAAACCUGCCUUUAAUAUUAUAUAAUCUGGCUUGAAUUGGCUUAUAUCACUGGUGGCAGAGAGAUAACUUAUCAUUAAGUGCCAAUGAUAACAAUUUAUAGACAAUAAAAUGGUGUUUGCAAUAACUUAAGCAAUUUGCCAAAAAAUAUGCAGCUGGUUAUGUAAAUUCAACUUCUCAGAUAUGAACUCCUGGCUACUCUGUCCUUCAGCCUGUAUUCUUCAUUGUUGUAAUAUAACAUUUGAGUCUGCUGGAGAGAUGGCUGGCUCGGCAGGUAGGAGUGCCUGCUGCUCAUUUCAGAGGACAUUAUUUCCUAGCAUCCAUGUCUGGCAGAUCACAACCAUAUGUAACUCCAGUAUUAGUUUCCUACAUUUUCUUCUGGCCUCCAAUGGCACUUAUAAAGAUGUGUUUACAUGGAUAAUACACACACAUAGGAAAUAAAAUACAGCCACCACACCCUCCUAAGAAACAGAGAUAAAAACAGAAACCAAGGAAACACAUCUACCCAAUGAACAGAAGGCCAUCUAUCAGCACCUAGAAUUACAGUCUUCCCAAACCCAAAGGCCUGGGCACACACAUAAAAAUGCAAUAACAACCAGAACACAGUGUAUCUGCUAGAGCUCAGAAAUCCUUCUAAGUAGGCCAUGAGAAUUGAAAAAACAAACUAACAGAUAUGGUCCCUAAAGAGGAAAUUAAUAAAUUCCUUAAAGAAUUCCAUGAAAACACAAACAGUUGAAGGAAAUGAAUCAAACAGUUCAUGACAUGAAAGUGGAACUUGAAUCAAUAAAGGAAUAAACAUGGAGUCCCAGUCAGAGUUGGGCUCUGCUUUCCCCUUCUUGCCUGGCAGGUGGAUGCCCUGAGGGAAGCCCAGAUCCCAGAAACUCCCACCCACAUUACAACUCUCAGUAGUACACCAGUGGUGCCUGGGUAGACAGGAGACUGGGAGCUACAGCAACUGUUCCAGACUCCACUGUUUCCCACUCCAGGAAAACCUGGACUGAGAACCACAAUUGCGGACUGCAUUUUGCAUCCCCUGAGCAUCAUGUUGGUGGCACUCCAGGUGCUCUAGCGGGAAGCAGGACACAGGCCAGCAUAAAAACCCUAGUGAAAUAGAGCCACUAAUUAAAAACCUCAACGGGGGGGGGGCAGAAAUAUGGUUUUAAUGGAGAAUUUUAUAAGAAUUUAAAAGAAGGGUAAAUAGUAAAUAAUCCUUAACUAUUCAACAAAUUCCACAGACAGAACAUUGCCCACAUUCAUUUUAAGAGGUCACAGAUAUCCUGAUGUCCACAUAAUGACCCAACAAAGAAAGAUAAGUAUAGACCAAUUCCUUUAUGAAUAUAGUUGCAAAAAUUAUCAAUAAAAUAUCUGUAAAUCAAAUCUAAGAAUACAUCUAAAAGAUUGUCCACCUUAAUCAAUUAGGUUUCAUUCCAAAGACUCAGAAGUGGUUCAAUAUAGCUGUCUAGAUAAAUGAAACCCACCAUAUAAACAAACUAAAAGCCAAAAACCAUAGGAUCACAUCAUUAGAUUCCAAAAAUGGCCUUUGACAAAAUCCAAACCCCUUCAUGAUGAAAAGUCCUAGAGAUGUAGAGAUAGCAGGGAGUUACUCAAACAUAAUAAAGGCAAUUUACAGCAAGUCCAUAACUAACAUCAAUUUAAAUGGAGAGAAACUCAAAGAAAUGCCACUAAAAUACAGAGGAAAGCAAGGUUGUUUACUCUCGCCAAACUUAUUUAAUGUAGUCUCAGCUCUAAGACAACUGAAAAAGAUCAGGAGGGUACAAAUAGAAAAGAAAUCAAAGUGUCUUUCUUUGCUGAAGAUACAAUAAUAUACAUAAGUGAUCCUAAAAAUUCCACUGGAAAAUUCCUACUGCUGAUGAUUAUAAUCAGCAAAGUAGCAGGAGAAAAAUUAACACACAAACAUCAGUAGUCUUUUUAUAUACAAAUGAAAUACAGACUGAGAAUGAAGUCAGGGAAAUAACACCUUUCACAAUAGCCUC
This 2303-nucleotide long non-coding RNA is filed under the name Mus musculus (house mouse). RNAcentral describes it as "long non-coding RNA chr1:67903229-67905532". The record is from RNAcentral. Lineage: Eukaryota; Metazoa; Chordata; Mammalia; Rodentia; Muridae.